This 418-nucleotide ribosomal RNA is filed under the name uncultured bacterium. RNAcentral's name for it is "bacterial SSU rRNA". It matches the Rfam family "Bacterial small subunit ribosomal RNA", at positions 361 to 776 of the family's 1533-position model. The record is from RNAcentral.
AUAUUGGUCAAUGGAGGCAACUCUGAACCAGCCAUGCCGCGUGCAGGAAGACGGCCCUACGGGUUGUAAACUGCUUUUAUUCGGGAAUAAACCUUUCUACGUGUAGGAAGCUGAAUGUACCGAAGGAAUAAGGAUCGGCUAACUCCGUGCCAGCAGCCGCGGUAAUACGGAGGAUCCAAGCGUUAUCCGGAUUUAUUGGGUUUAAAGGGUGCGUAGGCGGCUUAUUAAGUCAGGGGUGAAAGACGGUGGCUCAACCAUCGCAGUGCCUUUGAUACUGAUGAGCUUGAAUACACUUGAGGUAGGCGGAAUGUGACAAGUAGCGGUGAAAUGCAUAGAUAUGUCACAGAACACCAAUUGCGAAGGCAGCUUACUAAGGUGUUAUUGACGCUGAGGCACGAAAGCGUGGGGAUCAAACAGG